GACGAACGCUGGCGGCGUGCCUAACACAUGUAAGUCGCACGGGACCGGGGGCAACUCCGGUUCAGUGGCAGACGGGUGCGUAACACGUGAGGAACCUGUCCGACGGCGGGGGAUAGCCGGCCCAACGGCCGGGUAAUACCGCAUACGAUCGUUUGGGGGCAUCCCCGAGCGAUGAAAGCAGCCGCAAGGUUGCGCCGAUGGAGGGUCUCGCGGCCUAUCAGCUAGUUGGCGGGGUAACGCCCACCAAGGCGACGACGGGUAGCUGGUCUGAGAGGAUGGCCAGCCACAUUGGGACUGAGACACGGCCCAGACCCCUACGGGAGGCAGCAGUGGGGAAUCUUGCGCAAUGGCCGCAAGGCUGACGCAGCGACGCCGCGUGUGGGAUGACGGCCU
Molecule: ribosomal RNA, 393 nt
Filed under: uncultured bacterium
Lineage: Bacteria
Description: bacterial SSU rRNA
Rfam family: Bacterial small subunit ribosomal RNA
Source: RNAcentral